AGUGAACGCUGGCGGCGUGCCUAAUACAUGCAAGUCGAACGGAGAUUAAGUAGCUUGCUAUUUAAUCUUAGUGGCGCACGGGUGAGUAAUAUAUAGCUAAUCUGCCCUACACUAGAGGACAACAGUUGGAAACGACUGCUAAUACUCUAUACUCCUUCUAAGCAUAAGCUUAGUCGGGAAAGUUAAUAAAAUUUGCUUUUUGGUUUCAUCUUGAGAGAUAUGGACGUAUAACAACUAAAUUGAUACGCCGAUGUGGCAAACAUCGGUGUGCUUUAGGUGGGUCAAGGGAGCGCUUGCGCUUCUUGUCGCAAAGAAAGACUUUGCCUUUCUGCGAAGUCCGUAUUUGUCAAGAUGAAAUCUUGCAAAUGUAUUUUUUCGGUGUAGGAUGAGGCUAUAUCGUAUCAGCUAGUUGGUAGGGUAACGGCCUACCAAGGCUAUGACGCGUAACUGGUCUGAGAGGAUGAUCAGUCACACUGGAACUGAGACACGGUCCAGACUCCUACGGGAGGCAGCAGUAGGGAAUAUUGCUCAAUGGGGGAAACCCUGAAGCAGCAACGCCGCGUGGAGGAUGACACUUUUCGGAGCGUAAACUCCUUUUCUUGGGAAAGAAUUAUGACGGUACCCAAGGAAUAAGCACC
This 638-nucleotide ribosomal RNA is filed under the name Campylobacter rectus. RNAcentral's name for it is "bacterial SSU rRNA". It matches the Rfam family "Bacterial small subunit ribosomal RNA", at positions 29 to 494 of the family's 1533-position model. Lineage: Bacteria; Pseudomonadati; Campylobacterota; Epsilonproteobacteria; Campylobacterales; Campylobacteraceae. The record is from RNAcentral.